GGGUUGGCAAAGGCCGGGGGAGCGGGGACUGGAGCGCCCCAUGUGCGGGGAGUGGUACAAACCGACACUCCCCCCCCUCCCCGAACGUCUCCUAGUCCCGAGCGGGUGACAGGUUCCUGCUCUCGCUGGGCUUUUACCAUCCGCUCGGGAGGGGGGACACGGAACGCGCCACUUGCCCGAAGUGGGAGAAGCUUCUCCGCGACCGGGCCGGGCUCCUUGGGCGCGACCACUGGGACACAGAGGAGGAAAACGCCAACGCAAUGUCCCCUCAGUGCUUCCUCCCACCACUCCCGGGCCAGACCGACCCCUCUCUCUCUCUCUCUCUGAGAUCGCGCCCAAGGCUCCCACCAAUCAGGAAGCUCCAACGCGGCUGGAACGUAAUGCAUUGUGGGAAGGCAACGGAACGGAAGCAGGCGGGUGGCUCAGCAUGUGGGGGUUCCCAUGGCAACCGUCACCUUCCCCGUCGCCAGCGGAAUGACGGGUCUUAUCAGACCCUAGUCCCUCUAUCUCGGGAGACGGGGAUCCCCAGGGAGAGGAGGGGGCCCGUCUGGGGGCCGGGCCCUUGUAGCCGCGGGGAGGGGGAUCCCCAUGGAGUGCUGGGUGCAGCAGCUCUGCUCCUGGUGAAGAUCCAGCCCAUGGCGGGGUGCAGGGGGUGACCGGUUUCUUUUGCUGAUGGACGGGGAGGACGUUUGUGAAACGCUUCUUUAAGCGUCACCAGUUCGUGCGUUGGGUGCUCGAGGUGCCUGAAGAGAAUUUGACAGAUGGGGCCUGGCAUUUCAGGGCAGGUUAGGAAGCCACAUUUUUAAUUUCAGCCCCUGGUUUAACCCAUAAGCGGAGGCUCCAACCCCCACUACACACAGGCAAUCGCGAAAUGAAAGAAAGGAGUUCAUGUCUGUGUUCAUAAUGGAAACUCAAGAAGCCAAGUAGAUCUCAUGACCCCAGAAGAACUGUCCGGUCCUCAUGUGUCCUUAUGUUAUCCUGGAGGACUAUGACAAGAUCUUUGGAGGACUUGGCAUGGGACUUCACAGCUGAAGUUUGGAUGAAACCUGAUUUUUUAACUAUGUUCUUGCCGAAGCUCUGUACUGGAUGGAAUCAGAAUUACUCAACCGCAUGUCAUUACUGCUGAAAGCCCUGGGAAAGGAGACGCCAGCUGUACUCUGUCCACUCGUGGCAUCAAGUCCUGAGGUGCAGCCCAUAGAGACACACAGAUCACCGUGCCUUGCUUCCUUCAGUCCAAGCAGAAGGUUACACUGCAUGCUGGGAGCCCCUCCUGCCCUAUUGUUCUGGCCUGUGACCUAGGAAGGGGCUCACACAACUACGGAGGGUUUGUCUGGAGGAGGGGCAGCCACUGCCAUCCUAA
Molecule: long non-coding RNA, 1360 nt
Organism: Mauremys mutica (yellowpond turtle)
Lineage: Eukaryota; Metazoa; Chordata; Testudines; Geoemydidae
Exons: 5
Source: RefSeq, a predicted model, not a curated record